GCCGAAGAACCCGGCGGCUGUGUCGAUUCUCUGCCUCCCCGACCACCUCUUCCGAUUUUGCGAAGGGGAGGUUGCAUUGCCCGGAGGAAAGGCAGAGGAGGGUGAUGCUGAUGAUGCAGCAACAUCAUUAAGGGAGGCAAAGGAGGAGAUUGGGCUUGAUCCAGCCUUGGUCACUGUCGUUUCCUCGCUUGAGCACUUCUUGCCCAAGUUGUUUCGUCGCUGCGAGGGUCUGGUGUUCAACGACCUCCCCGUGCGUUCAACGAGCUCCGCCCCGG
Aegilops tauschii subsp. strangulata is the source of this 275-nucleotide non-coding RNA. The record is from RefSeq and is a predicted model, not a curated record. NCBI's taxonomy places the organism in Eukaryota, Viridiplantae, Streptophyta, Magnoliopsida, Poales, Poaceae.